RNAcentral lists this ribosomal RNA (466 nucleotides) under uncultured bacterium. RNAcentral describes it as "partial 16S ribosomal RNA". It matches the Rfam family "Bacterial small subunit ribosomal RNA", at positions 339 to 795 of the family's 1533-position model. The record is from RNAcentral.
CUACGGGUCGCAGCAGUGAGGAAUUUUGCGCAAUGGGCGAAAGCCUGACGCAGCAACGCCGCGUGAGUGAUGAAGGCCUUCGGGUCGUAAAGCUCUGUCAAGCGGGAAGAAUCCGCGUGCGACGAACAAUCGCGCGCGCUGACGGUACCGCUGAAGGAAGCACCGGCUAACUCCGUGCCAGCAGCCGCGGUAAUACGGAGGGGUGCGAGCGGUAUUCGGAAUUAUUGGGCGUAAAGGGCGCGCAGGCGGCCCUGCAAGUCGGAUGUGAAAGCCCGGGGCUCAACCCCGGAAGAGCAUUUGAUACUGUCGGGCUUGAGUAUGGGAGAGGGAAGUGGAAUUCCUGGUGUAGAGGUGAAAUUCGUAGAUAUCAGGAGGAACACCGGUGGCGAAGGCGACUUCCUGGACCAAUACUGACGCUGAGGCGCGAAGGCGUGGGGAGCAAACAGGAUUAGAUACCCUCGUAGUC